CUACGAGAGGCAGCAGUGAGGAAUAUUGCACAAUGGGGGGAACCCUGAUGCAGCAACGCCGCGUGGAGGAUGACGCAUUUCGGUGUGUAAACUCCUUUUAUAUGUCAAGAAAAUGACGGUAGCAUAUGAAUAAGCAUCGGCUAACUCCGUGCCAGCAGCCGCGGUAAUACGGAGGGUGCAAGCGUUACUCGGAAUCACUGGGCGUAAAAGACGCGUAGGCGGGUUGGAAAGUCAGGUGUGAAAUCCUACAGCUUAACUGUAGAACUGCACUUGAAACUUCUAAUCUAGAGUAUGGGAGGGGGAGAUGGAAUUAGUGGUGUAGGGGUAAAAUCCGUAGAUAUCACUAGGAAUACCUAAAGCGAAGGCGAUCUCCUGGAACAUUACUGACGCUAAGGCGUGAAAGCGUGGGGAGCAAACAGGAUUAGAUACCCCCGUAGUC
Molecule: ribosomal RNA, 439 nt
Filed under: uncultured bacterium
Lineage: Bacteria
Description: partial 16S ribosomal RNA
Rfam family: Bacterial small subunit ribosomal RNA
Source: RNAcentral